GCUUAACUCUUUCUUCGUGCCUAAUACAUGCAAGUCGAGCGAACAGACGAGGAGCUUGCUCCUUUGACGUUAGCGGCGGACGGGUGAGUAACACGUAGGUAACCUACCUAUAAGACUGGGAUAACUUCGGGAAACCGGAGCUAAUACCGGAUAAUAUUUCGAACCGCAUGGUUCGAUAGUGAAAGAUGGCUUUGCUAUCACUUAUAGAUGGACCUGCGCCGUAUUAGCUAGUUGGUAAGGUAACGGCUUACCAAGGCAACGAUACGUAGCCGACCUGAGAGGGUGAUCGGCCACACUGGAACUGAGACACGGUCCAGACUCCUACGGGAGGCAGCAGUAGGGAAUCUUCCGCAAUGGGCGAAAGCCUGACGGAGCAACGCCGCGUGAGUGAUGAAGGUCUUCGGAUCGUAAAACUCUGUUAUUAGGGAAGAACAAACGUGUAAGUAACUGUGCACGUCUUGACGGUACCUAAUCAGAAAGCCACGGCUAACUACGUG
Molecule: ribosomal RNA, 497 nt
Filed under: uncultured bacterium
Lineage: Bacteria
Description: partial 16S ribosomal RNA
Rfam family: Bacterial small subunit ribosomal RNA
Source: RNAcentral